UAAGACCACACGUGUCAUGACUCAUGACAUGCUAAUUUGGUUAAGUGUGUUUUAAUGUCUAGACUUACAAAAUGAACGCCACUGCACAGUGCAUAGUAGCGUGUUAGGAUUAACCGACGACAAUUUCUCUUACUAAAAAAAAAGAUACACCAUCUUCCGUGAACGCGUGAUUGUCGUAUGUAAGGCAACCAUAAUGUGAUAAAUAA
Molecule: long non-coding RNA, 206 nt
Filed under: Oryza brachyantha (malo sina)
Lineage: Eukaryota; Viridiplantae; Streptophyta; Magnoliopsida; Poales; Poaceae
Description: long non-coding RNA (OBRA_LNC001640)
Source: RNAcentral